Molecule: ribosomal RNA, 458 nt
Filed under: uncultured bacterium
Lineage: Bacteria
Description: partial 16S ribosomal RNA
Rfam family: Bacterial small subunit ribosomal RNA
Source: RNAcentral
AACGAACGCUGGCGGCAUGCCUAACACAUGCAAGUCGAACGAGCCCUUCGGGUCUAGUGGCGCACGGGUGCGUAACGCGUGGGAACCUGCCCUCAGGUUCGGACUAACUCCCCGAAAGGGGUGCUAAUACCGGAUAAUGUCUUCGGACCAAAGAUUUAUCGCCUCUGGAUGGGCCCGCGUUGGAUUCGCUAGUUGGUAGGGUAAAAGCCUACCAAGGCGACGAUCCAUAGCUGGUCUGAGAGGAUGAUCAGCCACACUGGGACUGAGACACGGCCCAGACUCCUACGGGAGGCAGCAGCAGGGAAUCUUCCGCGAGGGGGGAGAGCGUGAUGGUGCAACGCGGGGGGAGUGAUGAAGGUCUUAGGACCGUAAAACUAUGAAAUUCGGGAAGAAGAAAAGCGUAAUUAACCAGGAACAUAAUGACAGUACCGAGAGAGAAAGCCCCGGCUAACUACGUG